RNAcentral lists this transfer RNA (73 nucleotides) under bacterium. RNAcentral describes it as "tRNA-Phe". It matches the Rfam family "tRNA". From Rfam's summary of the family: Transfer RNA (tRNA) molecules are approximately 80 nucleotides in length. Their secondary structure includes four short double-helical elements and three loops (D, anti-codon, and T loops). Further hydrogen bonds mediate the characteristic L-shaped molecular structure. tRNAs have two regions of fundamental functional importance: the anti-codon, which is responsible for specific mRNA codon recognition, and the 3' end, to which the tRNAs corresponding amino acid is attached (by aminoacyl-tRNA synthetases). tRNAs cope with the degeneracy of the genetic code in two manners: having more than one tRNA (with a specific anti-codon) for a particular amino acid; and 'wobble' base-pairing, i.e. permitting non-standard base-pairing at the 3rd anti-codon position. The record is from RNAcentral. RNAcentral also lists the same sequence under 3 other names.
GCCGAAAUAGCUCAGUUGGGAGAGCGUCAGACUGAAGAUCUGAAGGUCCAUGGUUCAAUCCCGUGUUUCGGCA